GACGAACGCUGGCGGCGUGCCUAAUACAUGCAAGUAGAACGCACAGUUUAUACCGUAGCUUGCUACACCAUAAACUGUGAGUUGCGAACGGGUGAGUAACGCGUAGGUAACCUGCCUGGUAGCGGGGGAUAACUAUUGGAAACGAUAGCUAAUACCGCAUAAUAUUGAUUAUUGCAUGAUAAUUGAUUGAAAGAUGCUAUUGCAUCACUACCAGAUGGACCUGCGUUGUAUUAGCUAGUAGGUGAGGUAACGGCUCACCUAGGCGACGAUACAUAGCCGACCUGAGAAGGUGAUCGGCCACACUGGGACUGAGACACGGCCCAGACUCCUACGGGAGGCAGCAGUAGGGGAUCUUCGGCAAUGGACGAAAGUCUGACCGAGCAACGCCGCGUGAGUGAAGAAGGUUUUCGGAUCGUAAAGCUCUGUUGUAAGAGAAGAACGGGUGUGAGAGUGGAAAGUUCACACUGUGACGGUAUCUUACCAGAAAGGGACGGCUAACUACGUG
This 505-nucleotide ribosomal RNA is filed under the name uncultured bacterium. RNAcentral describes it as "partial 16S ribosomal RNA". It matches the Rfam family "Bacterial small subunit ribosomal RNA", at positions 28 to 507 of the family's 1533-position model. The record is from RNAcentral.